RNAcentral lists this long non-coding RNA (4285 nucleotides) under Homo sapiens (human). RNAcentral describes it as "HSALNT0052454". Lineage: Eukaryota; Metazoa; Chordata; Mammalia; Primates; Hominidae. The record is from RNAcentral.
AGGAAUUGAAGUUGACUUUAGAAACCCAAUAAAAGGCCUCUGGAAAAGACUGGCAUGAUACAUUUUUACAUGGUUCUCUUACAAGGUUCCUGACCUUAUGAUAAGUAAAGAAUAUCACUUUCUGACAGGUCCAGGAACCUCAAGAUAUUUUGGGACCUCAAGAAGAGAGGACUUUACCCAAUUCAUAUAGGUAUUACAGGCACAACCUGACAGCAAAUCCUUGGCUUGUUUUCCUAGCCUCAAGAGGCUUUUAAAAAUCUAAUUUGAGAUUCCUUAUGAAAAAGUUCUAGCAAAGCCAACUUAAAGGAGCCUAUAUGGCCAUUCAUUAUUCUUGUUACACUUUAUACAAAUAAUCAGGCCAAGAGCACUACUAAAACUUAUUUUGCAAAUAAAUUGAUCAGACUAAGAAUUAUCCUUGGUUUACAUGGGGAACUGGAGAGAGAAAAAUAAUGUUUCAGAAGAAAACUAUAGCACACCUGCUAUUAGAUUCCAGCACUGACUACUGUUUUUGAGUUUUUAUGAUUUUCCUAUAUUUUAGACUAAAUCCAGAAUUAUUUCCUAUCUAUGAGUCUCUAAAGGACAAGGGUUUAAUUUUCUUCAGGAUGUUUUCAGUGUACUCACCAGUGGAACAGGUUUCCUUUUUCAUUUUGGAAUACAUGUUCUCUUUUUGUAAUGGUAAUCCUUACUUGCAAUAUGUAUCUCUCACUGUUUUACUGCUUCUGAGAAAAUUAAAGUCAUAAUAUUCUAAAGACCAGGAUGAUUCAAUAAGUGACAGCAACUAUAUAAAUAAGUUGACUGAGAUUUGGCUGAAGUCUCAUUUUUGCCACCCUGUGAUACCAUUCCAAUUCAGCUUUAGGCACACUUAAAAUUUCUUACUGAGAUGUAUUCUCUCCCCUGCCCCUUCCCCACACGCCCACCUGAGUGGGACAGAACCAUUUGGGAAUGAACCUUCCUUAUGAUAUAGGACUAAGGAGUCAAAAUGCUUUUAGUUCAUCUACUAUGCUUUCUUCAAAACAUCUUGAUGAAAUGGAGGGAAAUGAGAAAACUCAGAUCAGGCUGAGCUAUGUGAGGUAUGCAAAAUUUAUCCAACCCAGAGAGCCAUGAGUUGGAGACUUUUGAUCAUGCCCCUCCUCACAGCAUCCAUGCCCAGGGUAGUUUUUUAAAGGCAUUUUUGUUCCUAAUUAGCUGCCUCUACCAUUAUCUUCAUGUUCUUGGAAUCUGUGAUACAAAGAACCAUGAAUAGCCAAUCAAUACAUUACUUUAAUGUAUAUUCUUAGCAAAAACUUAAAAACUGCUUCUUUUUUCCUUUCAAGACCCACUUGUAACUACUGCUAAUUGGACUGUAUAUCCAGGGCAACUUGAAUCUACACUCCUGAGUGGCCAUCUUCAAGCUCUGAGCUCAAAUAAACUCUGUACUUAAUCAUAUUUUCUGAAUCUCAUUAUUUAAGGCUGACAUUAUUACCUAUUACACCUCUUUCCCUUACUCAAUGUUUCACAAUUUUGUUUCCUUUCUAUUUCCCAAACAUGCCAAACUUGGCCCCACCUUAGGUUUUCUACUUCCUUUUCUCUUUGCCAGGAUUGUUCUCUUGCCUCCCUACUCCCACUAAGAGAUUUUCUUGGCUGGUUCUUUCUGAUUUGUAUUUUAGUUUCAAUGUUCCCUCUGAAGACAGAACAUCAUUCUCUUACCUCUUGCUUCCUAUUGCCCCAUACUCUCUAUUACACCCCUAUGUUUGGGGUGUUUUUGUAAUAUUUUCAUUAUCUGAUGUUUGAUUAUUUGUUUAUUACAUACUUAUUGUCAUCUCCCUGAUAGAGGCAGCAGGCAGACAAAUUACCUAGGCAGAUAGGGAAGGGUCCCUGGUGAAACAUCACCUUCAAGCCUAAAACAGCCUGAAGGCUGAAAGACAUGACUGCUGGUUCCAACUGAAACCUGUGACCCAGAGGGACAACUUCUGCCCCUGUUUGCCCGCUCUUUCCUGAUUGAUUCUUUCUGAAUAAUGCCUUUUAACCAAACGAAUGUUGCCUUUUCCAAUACUACCUAGGGCUAUACUACCCCUUUCUUUGCUGAGAGUUUUCCUUUCACUUAAUAAAUUCUGCCCUUUUCACACUUCAGUGUAUCCACAUGCCUAAUUUUUCCUGGUCAUGAGAAAAGAACCCAGAUUUAGUUGAACUAAGGAGCAAAAAUCCUGCAUCAUCCCCAAUCCAGUAGAAUGUUGGUCUGUAAAAGCAGAUUUUUUUUGUGGGUGUAUGUACAUCUCUGAAUUACUUCAUCUAUAACAAUUACUGGAAUAUUGACCAAGCCAGUAUUGGAUAAUAGUGACCUGACAUCUAUCUAUCUAUCUAUCUAUCUAUCUAUCUAUCUAUCUAUCUAUCUAUCUAUCUAUCUACCUACCUACCUACCUAGAUAGAUAGAUAGAUAGAUAGAUGUCAGGAAAAGAGGCUCAGAGAGUUUAUAUAACUGCCCCAAGAACACAAGUAAGAGGUGCAGAACUAAGAUGUAAGCUAAGUUAUUUCAGACCCAUGUAGAACCAUGUUUAUAACCAUAGAGAUACAGAGAAUAAAUGUAUUGGCCCAAUUCACAGAAAGCUGAGAGUGUAGAAAAUAUACUAAAUAAAAGAGGCUCAAAUGAUAUUGGGCUAUAUUUCCACCUCUUACUUUUCUAUUGGCCAGAAGCAGACUAGCUGCCUCCAAUGUCCCCACUUUUCUGGAUGCUCCAAUAGUCCUUGACAUGCUUUGUGUUUACAGCAGGUACAGGUCAAAGACAUGUUAUGAGCCCUGAGCAUACUGAAUGGCCACCAUUUCUAAUCUGGAGGUAACAAAGCUCCCCCAGUUCCAUUUUAUAUAGCAGAUGGAAGAAGAGAACAAGAAGUAUCAGGCAGUAGAAGGCAUAAGAAAUCAGUGGCUUGACUUGAACCUAUGUUUGCCUUUUCAGUCCACAUGGCACUUUCUGAAAUACAGAUACCUAAAUUUCAGAAUUGGAAUGUGACUGCUAAUUCAUAUUUGAAGCUCAAAGUUGUAAAAGACCAAUGAAUUUAGCUAUUCUGAAACUUCACAGAACGGUAAUUAUGAAAUCCACUAGCCACAUAUCUAGUCAUCCAUCCAACAAAGAAAAAGAAAACUUGACCCAAGGAAAUGUACAAUCCAUUUGGUGAAGACAGAAAUUAAACAAUGAAUUCAUUGUAAUCGUGAUAUAUUUUAUUUGAAAGAAAAAACAAAACUUUUAUAGGAGCUAUAACAAGAGCACCUAACUUUGUCCAAAGCCAAAGAUUGGAGGUCAGCGAAAAAUUCUUUGAAGAAAAGAUGUUUAAGCCAUUGCCUGAGAGAUGAGCAGGCAGAAGUCAGGAGAAGAGCCAUGGAAAGUAUAACCAGGCAAGAAGGGCAGCUUGUGCCUGAACAUGAGACAGAGUCAAAGCCAGGAAGGCGAGCAAUAUCAAGAAUGAUGCUGGAGAGGUUGGCAAGUGAAAUGUUGAAGGAUUGUAAGCAGGACCCUGACAUGAUGAGAUUUGAAUAUUGAAGGGCUCACUGUGGCUUCUAUAUGCAAAAUGCAACAGAGGAGAGAGAGAGGCUGCAUUCAGAAUAGAGCUAAAAUGUAAAAUUCCCACCCUCCCUCAGUUCCUAAAGAAAAAUAACUUUGUAAGUUUUAUUCUUUCAUGAUCUCAUAUACCAGCAUUAUAGUUCUGCCUUUUAGAAUAUAUAUUACUUGACUCUGUACUUAAGAAAAAUAUGCCUCAUUUUAAGCAAACUCUCAUUGUAUAGAAAAGAUAAAUGGGAGAGAAAUGAAUAGUUCAAUCUUUGUGUUAUGAACUGAAUUGUGUACCCGACAAAACUCAUAUGUUGAAGUCCUAACCCCCAAUACCUCAGAAUGUGACUGUAUUUGUAAUUACCCCUUUAAAGGGGUAAUUAAGUUAAAAUGAGGCCAUUAGGGUGGGCCCUAUUGCAAUAUGACUUGGUGCUCUUAAGAGAUUAAGACACAGGCAUGCACAGAAGGAAGACCAUGUGAGGACAGAAGGGGAACACAGCCAUUUACAAGCCAAGAAGAAAGGUGUCACAAGAAGCCAGCUAUAAAGACAUCUUGACCUCUGACUUCUAGCCUCCAAAAUUGUGAGAAAAUAAAUUCAUGUUGUAUGAGCCACUGUUCCGUGACAUUUUGUUAUGACAGACCUAGGAAACUAAUAUACUUUGUACGAACACAUCCUUUGUUUAAAGAAAAAAAUAUCACUGUAGGUCUUCUUGGAAAUAUGUGCUCUUAAUGAAUUUGAAAUGCAUUUAUUUCCCAGCAAGAGUCCAA